RNAcentral lists this ribosomal RNA (138 nucleotides) under Neolissochilus stracheyi. RNAcentral describes it as "partial 12S ribosomal RNA". The record is from RNAcentral. Lineage: Eukaryota; Metazoa; Chordata; Actinopteri; Cypriniformes; Cyprinidae.
UGGGAUUAUAUACCCCACUAUGCGCAGCCAAGGACGCAGGCAACCGACUACAACUAAAUGUCCCCCAGGGUACAAGCAUCAGCUUAAAACCCAAAAGACCUGACGGUGUCCAAGCCCCCCAAGAGGAGCCUGUUUCAG